Molecule: ribosomal RNA, 174 nt
Filed under: uncultured bacterium
Lineage: Bacteria
Description: partial 16S ribosomal RNA
Rfam family: Bacterial small subunit ribosomal RNA
Source: RNAcentral
ACUCCUACGGGAGGCAGCAGUGAGGAAUUUUCCGCAAUGGGCGAAAGCCUGACGGAGCAAUACCGCGUGAAGGAAGAAGGCCCGUGGGCUGUAAACUUCUUUUCUCAGAGAAGAAGAUCUGACGGUAUCUGAGGAAUAAGCACCGGCUAACUCCGUGCCAGCAGCCGCGGUAAU